Molecule: non-coding RNA, 69 nt
Organism: Ictidomys tridecemlineatus (thirteen-lined ground squirrel)
Lineage: Eukaryota; Metazoa; Chordata; Mammalia; Rodentia; Sciuridae
Source: Rfam
GGGGGAAUGGUUCAGUGGUAGAACACAUGCUUUACAUGCAUGAAUCCCUGGAUUCAAUUCCUAGCACCA